GAACGAACGCUGGCGGCGCGUUUAAGCAUGCAAGUCGAGCGGUAACUACCCUUCGGGGUAGCUAGAGCGGCGAACGGGUGAGUAACACGUAGAUAAUCUGCCUUGAGGUUGGGGAUAGCCUGUGGAAACACAGGGUAAUACCGAAUAAGCCCUAUGGGGGAAAGGUGCUAAGGCACCGCCUUGAGAUGAGUCUGCGGCUCAUUAGUUAGUUGGUGGGGUAAAAGCCUACCAAGGCGACGAUGAGUAGCCGGCCUGAGAGGGUGGACGGCCACACUGGGACUGAGACACGGCCCAGACUCCUACGGGAGGCAGCAGCUAAGAAUCUUCCGCAAUGGGCGCAAGCCUGACGGAGCGACGCCGCGUGAACGAAGAAGGCCGUGAGGUUGUAAAGUUCUUUUCUUACUGAAGAAUAAUCAUUGCAGGGAAUGGCAGUGAGAUGACGUUAGGUAAGGAAUAAGCCCCGGCUAAUUACGUGCCAGCAGCCGCGGUAACACGUAAGGGGCAAGCGUUGUUCGGAAUUAUUGGGCGUAAAGGGCGUGUAGGCGGUUUUACAAGUCUGGUGUGAAAUACCGCAGCUUAACUGCGGGGACGCGCUGGAAACUGUAAGACUAGAGUACAGGAGGGGGACCUGGAAUUCCUGGUGUAGGGUGAAAUCUGUA
RNAcentral lists this ribosomal RNA (659 nucleotides) under uncultured organism. Its description in RNAcentral is "bacterial SSU rRNA". It matches the Rfam family "Bacterial small subunit ribosomal RNA", at positions 27 to 692 of the family's 1533-position model. The record is from RNAcentral.